This 604-nucleotide ribosomal RNA is filed under the name Salmonella enterica. RNAcentral describes it as "partial 23S ribosomal RNA". It matches the Rfam family "Bacterial large subunit ribosomal RNA", at positions 711 to 1311 of the family's 2925-position model. The record is from RNAcentral. Lineage: Bacteria; Pseudomonadati; Pseudomonadota; Gammaproteobacteria; Enterobacterales; Enterobacteriaceae.
AGACCCGAAACCCGGUGAUCUAGCCAUGGGCAGGUUGAAGGUUGGGUAACACUAACUGGAGGACCGAACCGACUAAUGUUGAAAAAUUAGCGGAUGACCUGUGGCUGGGGGUGAAAGGCCAAUCAAACCGGGAGAUAGCUGGUUCUCCCCGAAAGCUAUUUAGGUAGCGCCUCGUGAAUUCAUCUCCGGGGGUAGAGCACUGUUUCGGCUAGGGGGCCAUCCCGGCUUACCAACCCGAUGCAAACUGCGAAUACCGGAGAAUGUUAUCACGGGAGACACACGGCGGGUGCUAACGUCCGUCGUGAAGAGGGAAACAACCCAGACCGCCAGCUAAGGUCCCAAAGUCAUGGUUAAGUGGGAAACGAUGUGGGAAGGCCCAGACAGCCAGGAUGUUGGCUUAGAAGCAGCCAUCAUUUAAAGAAAGCGUAAUAGCUCACUGGUCGAGUCGGCCUGCGCGGAAGAUGUAACGGGGCUAAACCAUGCACCGAAGCUGCGGCAGCGACACUCAGGUGUUGUUGGGUAGGGGAGCGUUCUGUAAGCCUGCGAAGGUGGCCUGUGAGGGUUGCUGGAGGUAUCAGAAGUGCGAAUGCUGACAUAAGUAACG